RNAcentral lists this ribosomal RNA (333 nucleotides) under uncultured bacterium. Its description in RNAcentral is "bacterial SSU rRNA". It matches the Rfam family "Bacterial small subunit ribosomal RNA", at positions 43 to 377 of the family's 1533-position model. The record is from RNAcentral.
UCAGGCCUAACACAUGCAAGUCGAGCGGAUGAAGGUAGCUUGCUACCUGAAAUAGCGGCGGACGGGUGAGUAAUGCUUAGGAAUCUACCUAUUAGUGGGGGACAACAUUUCGAAAGGGAUGCUAAUACCGCAUACGUCCUACGGGAGAAAGCAGGGGAUCAUUUUGACCUUGCGCUAAUAGAUGAGCCUAGUCGGAUUAGCUAGUUGGUGGGGUAAAGGCCUACCAAGGCGACGAUCUGUAGCGGGUCUGAGAGGAUGAUCCGCCACACUGGGAGUGAGACACGGCCCAGACUCCUACGGGAGGCAGCAGUGGGGAAUAUUGGCCAAUGGGGG